GGUAGAUAGUAUAAUGGUAAUGCAAAAAGCUUUUUAUGCUUGAGGCUUCCAGACCCCAGGUUCAAUUCCUGGUACUACCA
RNAcentral lists this transfer RNA (80 nucleotides) under Erinaceus europaeus (western European hedgehog). It matches the Rfam family "tRNA". From Rfam's summary of the family: Transfer RNA (tRNA) molecules are approximately 80 nucleotides in length. Their secondary structure includes four short double-helical elements and three loops (D, anti-codon, and T loops). The record is from Rfam by way of RNAcentral. Lineage: Eukaryota; Metazoa; Chordata; Mammalia; Eulipotyphla; Erinaceidae.